Molecule: ribosomal RNA, 253 nt
Filed under: Mucilaginibacter craterilacus
Lineage: Bacteria; Pseudomonadati; Bacteroidota; Sphingobacteriia; Sphingobacteriales; Sphingobacteriaceae
Also listed under: 1 other name
Description: partial 16S ribosomal RNA
Rfam family: Bacterial small subunit ribosomal RNA
Source: RNAcentral
UACGGAGGAUCCGAGCGUUAUCCGGAUUUAUUGGGUUUAAAGGGUGCGUAGGCGGCCUGUUAAGUCAGGGGUGAAAGACGGUAGCUCAACUAUCGCAGUGCCCUUGAUACUGAUGGGCUUGAAUGUACUAGAGGUAGGCGGAAUGUGACAAGUAGCGGUGAAAUGCAUAGAUAUGUCACAGAACACCAAUUGCGAAGGCAGCUUACUAUGGUAUUAUUGACGCUGAGGCACGAAAGCGUGGGGAUCAAACAGG